This is a long non-coding RNA of Leptopilina heterotoma, 1685 nucleotides long. RefSeq lists it as uncharacterized. The record is from RefSeq and is a predicted model, not a curated record. The transcript is spliced from 5 exons. NCBI's taxonomy places the organism in Eukaryota, Metazoa, Arthropoda, Insecta, Hymenoptera, Figitidae.
AGACAGCAAAUCAGCACCAAUCGACUCGACACUCUUUGGAGUAACGAUUUCAUCGACAAAUGGAUCUGCGAAGCACAAAUUAUUGCCUGCGAACGAUGGGGUCAAGUCAAGAAAAGACACAGUCGAACCGAGACGACCGUGAGAGUCUUGCCAGCAAACUCAACUCGCAGAUGUAGGAAAAUGGGUCCAGCAUAGGAAAGGUCACAAAUAGAAGAACACAAGGAAAAUACGAGUCAACUUUGACAAAUCCAUCAAAUGGAAAUAGAAAGCAAUUCGUCCAGAAUUGCGUCUUGCGAGUGAAGUGAAACUUGGAGGAAGAUUAGUCUCUGAAAUAAUCAACCCUGGCCUAGAAUGAUUUUCGCUCUGGAAGGAAAGAAACGGGGGAAAAAUUUUCAUCUCAAUUACAAAGUUGUGCCUCGAAGGCGCUACAAGUUUUCAAUGAGAGAAUCACAUGCGUGUGUAGAGCGAGUAAUUGGCGGCAUUUCCACGCAUCGCAGCUUUUUGAAUCCCCAAUAGGAGAGCUUGACUAGAAUAAUUCUCUCAACAACUAAAAUGACCAAAGCAAGCCAAAGGCAGCAGCAAAAGCAGCAUUAUCGGGUAGUCUCACCGCAGGAUUUCCUCAUCGGCUGCGAAGCGUUACGAGGAAUGCAUUUCGAUUGGAAAAUAAACAUUGGCCUACAAUCGAAAAGUAGUAAAAUUGCUAUUCAAACUAAAAGCACACACACACACUCGAUGGGAUCAUUAAAAGGAAAUAAAAAUUCAUUAAGCAGAAAUUAUGAUGGAUCAUUAAUUUGUGUUAGCCGAAAGGAGAUGAGGAAUAAAAAUGAAAAAGUCCUCGAAACACUGACCUGCAUCCUUUGGGAGGGAAUGAAAAAUAUACAGGUGGAACAGGAGUAGAGAGAAAAGUUAAAAGGCAAAUUGCAAUGUAUAUUAACAGAGGAGAGAUUCAAAGUGGGCCAAGUUAGGUCCAAGGUGGGCAAGAUGAGAGUCACAGAUAACUUGUGUAUUAUAAGAGAGGAGUAAAGUUUAAGAGGAGAGACGAGAGACGAGGAGACGGUAAAUGAGCGAGACUAAAUGCGUACAUUCAUGCAUGCCAGUGCGAACAUGUCUCGAGAAUAAAGCCCUGAAGCCAGAAACCUGAAGGCAGGUCCGUUGGUGUACCUGUUGCCAACACGUCUCUUCCUAACGACUUCCUGCUAAUGAUUACCAAAGGAAUCGUACCUUAUUAUCCGCAAUCAUCGAACUGGCAAAAUGUCUAUCAUCAAACGUCAGUGAAGGAUCAGUGAUCAACGUUUGAUUUUCUACAACUCUCCAACUAUGGGGCGAGGAAACGGGAUAGAAGUUGGUUCGCGAUUUAUGUACUAACAUAUGUACACAUAAAGCAAACCUUUACUUGCAACUUGCGGCUCUUUUCACGGUGCAUCGUUCUCGCUCAAGAAAUGGAAAUCGUAUACGUUUCGAAAGGAGGGAGAACGUCAUUUAAUUUUUUCACCAGUAAGGAAAUUCUCAUUAGUAAUUAAUUGGAAAAUGAAUGUCGAGUGGAUUUCUCAAGAUUUAUAUAUGUGAAAACAUUUGGAUUUGAAAUAACUGGGAGUCACGAUUGUUAAUUGGAGCAACUUUACAGAAUCAAGUUUCAGGAUAAUUAUACUGUUCAAAAUGAAUUCGAAACAUGAAAAUUGAUUUCG